CAAUAUAAGUGAUGGCGACCGGCGCACGGGUGAGUAACACGUAUUCAACCUGCCGAUAACUCGGGGAUAGCCUUUCGAAAGAAAGAUUAAUACCCGAUGGUAUAAUAAAACCGCAUGGUUUAAUUAUUAAAGAAUUUCGGUUAUCGAUGGGGAUGCGUUCCAUUAGGCAGUUGGUGAGGUAACGGCUCACCAAACCUUCGAUGGAUAGGGGUUCUGAGAGGAAGGUCCCCCACAUUGGAACUGAGACACGGUCCAA
This 256-nucleotide ribosomal RNA is filed under the name uncultured bacterium. Its description in RNAcentral is "partial 16S ribosomal RNA". It matches the Rfam family "Bacterial small subunit ribosomal RNA", at positions 74 to 334 of the family's 1533-position model. The record is from RNAcentral.